RNAcentral lists this ribosomal RNA (576 nucleotides) under Triticum aestivum (bread wheat). RNAcentral describes it as "partial small subunit ribosomal RNA". Lineage: Eukaryota; Viridiplantae; Streptophyta; Magnoliopsida; Poales; Poaceae. The record is from RNAcentral.
AUGAGUCCACCAUACCUACCUAUAUACGGUAUCUACCUUCCGUUCCAAGUAAAUUUGUAUGUGCCAAACUCUAAACCUUCAAAUAAACAUUCUGUUUUGUAUGCUCGAAUAGCUCAUGUAUCAACUAGGGCUGUCUGUAUCUUCCAUGCUAGGCGGGUUAUUCUCAAGAGGAGUGGACUCCGCUCCUCACUCACGAGAAAAUGGCUGGUCACCGGGAUGCCCAGUCCCAUGCUUUAUGCAAAUCAAAUCAAAAUAACUACAGACAAAACUCCCCCGGGACUCUUGUUAGUUGGAGGCACUCGUUGUUUCGAGCAAGCCAUGGAUUUAUGCUUGUUGGUGGAGGGGGAGUAUAAACUUUACCAUUCUAUUUGGGAACCGCCUAUAAUGUGUGUAGCAUGGAAGAUAUCGAGAUCUCUUGGUUGUUAUGUUGACAAUGAAAGUAUACCGCUCAAAAUUUUAUUCAUAUCUAUUUCAAAACCGAGCUCUGGCACCUCUACAAAUUCCCGCUUCCCUCUGCGAAGGGCCUAUCUAUUUACUUUUAUGUUGAGUCAUCAUCCUCUUAUUAAAAAUCACUAG